AUAAGUUAGCGGCGAACUGGUGAGUAACACGUAGGUAAUCUGCCGUGAAGUGGGGGAUAACCCAUGGAAACAUGGACUAAUACCGCAUAUACUCUUGCUACAUAAGUAGAGUAGAGGAAAGUUUUUUCGCUUCACGAUGAGCCUGCGGCCUAUUAGCCUGUUGGUAGGGUAAUGGCCUACCAAAGCUACGAUAGGUAGCCGACCUGAGAGGGUGACCGGCCACAUUGGGACUGAGAUACGGCCCAGACUCCUACGGGAGGCAGCAGCUGAGAAUCUUCCACAAUGGACGAAAGUCUGAUGGAGCGACAUCGCGUGAGGGAUGAAGGCCUUCGGGUUGUAAACCUCGGAAAUUAUCGAAGAAUGAGUGACAGUAGAUAAUGUAAGCCUCGGCUAACUACG
Molecule: ribosomal RNA, 399 nt
Filed under: Brachyspira pilosicoli
Lineage: Bacteria; Pseudomonadati; Spirochaetota; Spirochaetia; Brachyspirales; Brachyspiraceae
Description: bacterial SSU rRNA
Rfam family: Bacterial small subunit ribosomal RNA
Source: RNAcentral